AACGAACGCUGGCGGCGUGCCUAACACAUGCAAGUCGUGCGAGAAAGUUCCUUCGGGAGCGAGUAAAGCGGCGCACGGGUGAGUAACACGUAGGUAACCUGCCCCCCAGUCUGGAACAACUAGAGGAAACUCUAGCUAAUGCCGGAUGAGACCACGAUCCCUUCGGGGGUUGCGGCCAAAGAUGGCCUCUACUUGUAAGCUAUCGCUGAGGGAUGGGCCUGCGGCCAUUAGCUUGUUGGUGAGGUAACGGCUCACCAAGGCUGUGAUGGCUAGCUGGUCUGAGAGGAUGACCAGCCACACUGGGACUGAGACACGGCCCAGACUCCUACGGGAGGCAGCAGUGGGGAAUAUUGCGCAAUGGGCGAAAGCCUGACGCAGCGACGCCGCGUGGGUGAUGAAGGCCUGGUCGUAAAGGCCUCGUCGCAGGGAAGGAA
Molecule: ribosomal RNA, 434 nt
Filed under: uncultured bacterium
Lineage: Bacteria
Description: bacterial SSU rRNA
Rfam family: Bacterial small subunit ribosomal RNA
Source: RNAcentral